This 305-nucleotide ribosomal RNA is filed under the name uncultured bacterium. RNAcentral describes it as "bacterial SSU rRNA". It matches the Rfam family "Bacterial small subunit ribosomal RNA", at positions 337 to 638 of the family's 1533-position model. The record is from RNAcentral.
GCCUACGGGGCGCAGCAGUGAGGAAUAUUGGUCAAUGGGCGGGAGCCUGAACCAGCCAAGUCGCGUGAGGGAAGACGGUCCUAUGGAUUGUAAACCUCUUUAGGCGGGGAGCAAUGCCGGGCACGUGUGCCCGGAGGGAGAGUACCCGCAGAGUAAGCAUCGGCUAACUCCGUGCCAGCAGCCGCGGUAAUACGGAGGAUGCGAGCGUUAUCCGGAUUUACUGGGUGUAAAGGGCGUGUAGCCGGGUUGACAAGUCAGAUGUGAAAUCCUGCGGCUUAACCGCAGAACUGCAUUUGAAACUGUUG